Molecule: ribosomal RNA, 587 nt
Filed under: Astralium calcar
Lineage: Eukaryota; Metazoa; Mollusca; Gastropoda; Trochida; Turbinidae
Description: partial 16S ribosomal RNA
Rfam family: Bacterial large subunit ribosomal RNA
Source: RNAcentral
CGUUCUUCGGAAAAGGUUCAACGUCCAGUUUAUAGUACUUUGCUAAUAUGAAGAAUCGGACCUGCCCAGUGACUAGUGUGUUUAACGGCCGCGGUACUCUGACCGUGCAAAGGUAGCAUAAUCAUUUGCCUUUUAAUUGGAGGCUUGUAUGAAUGGUUUGACGAAAGCUAAGCUGUCUCUUUUUAAAUUUAAAGAAAUUAAUUUGUAGGUGAAGAAGCCUACAUCUAACUGAGGGACAAGAAGACCCCGUUGAGCUUUAGUAAUCUAAUAGAAUUAAAAAACGAGUGACAUAAACUUAUGUAUAUGCGUAAUUGCAGUAUAUAUGUAAAUACUUUUUAUUAGAAAUCUUUAGUUGGGGCGACUGAGGAAUAUAUAAAGCUUCCUUUGAUUAUUGUAAAGUGGAAUUCAUUCUAAUUUAAAUAGAUCCAAUAGUUAUUGAUUAAAGGAAAAAGUUACCACGGGGAUAACAGCGUAAUCUUUCUGGCGAGUUCUUAUCGAAAGAAAGGUUUGCGACCUCGAUGUUGGACUAAGAUAUCCUAAGGGUGUAGAAGCUCAUAAUGGUUAGUCUGUUCGACUAUUAAAAUCUU